GCCUCAUGGAAAAUGCCUACUGGGGAAGUGCACCUGUGGCUUUGCAGGUCUGAGCCCCCAUGGCUGCUCUCAUAGACUGGACUAGUGUUGAGUGCCUGUAGCUUUUCCACACGGAGGGUGCAAGCUGUUGGUGGGUCUAUGUAUCUGAGGUCUGGAGGGUGGUAGCAUGGGGGCUCCAAGUCCAUAUUUUCCUUCUGCACUGCCCUAGUAGAGGUUUCCCAAGAACUCUUCGUCUGCAGGAGGCUACUGCGUGGAAACAGUAGGAGGUGGGUGUGGGAGGCAGAUCCUUCACCAAUGGUUAGGCAACGUCUUCUUGAUGCUGUCCUCAUGAUAGUGUGUUCUCAUGAGAUCUGGUUAUAUAACAGGGGGUGGCAACUCUUUCCUCUCGCAGUCUUGCUUCUACUCCUGCCAUUUGAAAUAUCUCAUUGCCCCUUGGCCUUCUGGUAUGAUUGGGAGGCUUCCUGAUCUGAUCCUCCCAGAAGCAGAAGCCACUAUGCUUCCUUUACAGCCUGCUGUAUAGUGAGCCAAUUAAACCUCUUUUCUUUAUGAUCAUACAGAAAAUCAGUGCUAUGAAGUGGAGCCAUGAAAUGCCUUCAAGGCCCUUUCCCCUUUGUCUUGGCAACCAGCACUCAGCUUCUUUUCAUGCAAAUAUCUGAAGCCUUCGUGAAUUUUCCCCCGAAAAUGGACUUUUCUGUUUUACCACAUUGCCAGGCUCUGAUAAAGAUAGCUGACAAUGUAGAACCAGGUUCAGAAGUGAGUAAAAGACAGAGGUCAGAAGAAUUGGGAAAGCUUAGAAGACAGCAAGAUGAGGAAAAUAUUGGACCACUAUAGAGAAUUGUUAAAUACUUGUGAUUAGAAGGCUGACAAAAGUUUAAACACUGAAGUCCAGACUUAAAAGGUCUCAGAUGAAAAUGAGGAAUUUCCUAUUAAUAGAAGCCAAGAUUACAUUUGAUUGGCCUUAGCAAAGAAGCUGGCUGCACGGGGACCCUGCCCUGGAGAUCUGUGAAACUAGGAACUUGGGGGUGAUGAUUUAGGAUGUAUUUGGUGAAAUGAACAUCUAGGCAGCAUAACACAAGAGGUGACCUGUCCGCAUUGAACAGCCUGUGUUCUUAAGGGUGACCUAAGAAAUGACUUCAAGUUGGAACUUCAAGUGGAGAUCUAAAGUUUGGAAAAUUUGGAGCCUGGCCAAGUAGUCAAAAAGAAAAGCCGAUUUUGAGGGGGAAAAUUCAAGAAGGCUUAGGGUAUUUGCAUAAAAAGGAACCCAGUGCAAAUAGUCAAGACAGUUUGAAACCGGCCUUGAAGGUAUUUUAGAGAAGUCUGCAGCAGCCCUUGCUGUCACAGGCCCCGGGGCCUAGGAGAGAAGAAUGGUUUCCUACGCCAGUCCCAUGGCCCUGCUGCUGUGUUCAACCGCAGGACACUGCUGCCUGCAUCUGUGCAGCUCCAGCACCAGCCAUGGCUGAAAGACAUACAGGUACAGCUCGGGUCAUUGCUUCAGAGGUGGCUCAAAGUCUUAAAGGUUUCCAUAUAGUGUUAAGCCAGUAGGUGCACAGAGAAAGAGACUAGAGGCUUGGGAGCUCCCGUCUAGACUCCAGAAGAUGUACAGAAAAUCCUGGAUGUUCAGGAAGAAGCUUUUCCAAGAGGCAGAGCCUUAUGGGGAACCUCUACUAGGGGAGCAAAGAAGGGACAUAUAAGGUUGAAGCCCCCACACAGGG
This 1712-nucleotide long non-coding RNA is filed under the name Homo sapiens (human). RNAcentral describes it as "non-protein coding lnc-OCIAD2-8:9". Lineage: Eukaryota; Metazoa; Chordata; Mammalia; Primates; Hominidae. The record is from RNAcentral.